GGGGAAUAUUGCACAAUGGGGGAAACCCUGAUGCAGCAACGCCGCGUGAGUGAAGAAGUAUUUCGGAAUGUAAAGCUCUAUCAGCAGGGAAGAAGAUGACGGUACCUGAGUAAGAAGCCCCGGCUAACUACGUGCCAGCAGCCGCGGUAAUACGUAGGGGGCAAGCGUUAUCCGGAUUUACUGGGUGUAAAGGGAGCGUAGACGGUGAGACAAGUCUGAAGUGAAAGCCCGGGGCUCAACCCCGGGACUGCUUUGGAAACUGCCUGACUGGAGUGCUGGAGAGGCAAGUGGAAUUCCUAGUGUAGCGGUGAAAUGCGUAGAUAUUAGGAAGAACACCAGUGGCGAAGGCGGCUUGCUGGACAGUAACUGACGUUGAGGCUCGAAAGCGUGGGGAGCAAACAG
RNAcentral lists this ribosomal RNA (402 nucleotides) under uncultured bacterium. RNAcentral's name for it is "bacterial SSU rRNA". It matches the Rfam family "Bacterial small subunit ribosomal RNA", at positions 356 to 775 of the family's 1533-position model. The record is from RNAcentral.